GUUUNGGANACUGGGCGUCAGGGCACGUAGGCGGUGAAUCGGGUUGAAAGUUAAAGUCGCCAAAAACUGGNGGAAUGCUCUCGAAACCAAUUCACUUGAGUGAGACAGAGGAGAGUGGAAUUUCGUGUGUAGGGGUGAAAUCCUNAGAUCUACGAAGGAAGGCCAAAAGCGAAGGCAGCUCUCUGGGUCCCUACCGACGCUGGNGUGCGAAAGCAUGGGGAGCGAACGGGAUUAGAUACCCNUGGGUAGUCCACA
This 255-nucleotide ribosomal RNA is filed under the name uncultured Pseudomonas sp. RNAcentral describes it as "partial 16S ribosomal RNA". It matches the Rfam family "Bacterial small subunit ribosomal RNA", at positions 553 to 799 of the family's 1533-position model. The record is from RNAcentral. Lineage: Bacteria; Pseudomonadati; Pseudomonadota; Gammaproteobacteria; Pseudomonadales; Pseudomonadaceae.